This 253-nucleotide ribosomal RNA is filed under the name uncultured bacterium. RNAcentral describes it as "partial 16S ribosomal RNA". It matches the Rfam family "Bacterial small subunit ribosomal RNA", at positions 524 to 776 of the family's 1533-position model. The record is from RNAcentral.
UACGGGGGGGGCAAGCGUUGUUCGGAAUUACUGGGCGUAAAGGGCUCGUAGGCGGCCAACUAAGUCGGAUGUGAAAACUCUGGGCUCAACCCAGAGCCUGCAUCCGAAACUGGAGUGCUAGAGUUCUGGAGGGGGUAGCGGAAUUCCUGGUGUAGCGGUGAAAUGCGUAGAUAUCAGGAAGAACACCCGUAGCGAAGGCGGCGCUCUGGGCCGGUACUGACGCUGAGGAGCGAAAGCGUGGGGAGCAAACAGG